CAGCCGCCGCGGUAAUACGAAGGGGGCUAGCGUUGUUCGGAUUUACUGGGCGUAAAGGGCGCGUAGGCGGGCGAAUAAGUCAGGGGUGAAAUCCCAAGGCUCAACCUUGGAACUGCCUUCGAUACUGUUUGUCUUGAGUUCGAGAGAGGUAAGUGGAACUGCGAGUGUAGAGGUGAAAUUCGUAGAUAUUCGCAAGAACACCAGUGGCGAAGGCGGCUUACUGGCUCGAAACUGACGCUGAGGCGCGAAGGCGUGGGGAGCAAACAGGAUUAGAUACCCCUGUAGUCCCUGUCUCUUAUAA
Molecule: ribosomal RNA, 301 nt
Filed under: uncultured bacterium
Lineage: Bacteria
Description: partial 16S ribosomal RNA
Rfam family: Bacterial small subunit ribosomal RNA
Source: RNAcentral